This 402-nucleotide ribosomal RNA is filed under the name Triticum aestivum (bread wheat). RNAcentral's name for it is "partial small subunit ribosomal RNA". The record is from RNAcentral. Lineage: Eukaryota; Viridiplantae; Streptophyta; Magnoliopsida; Poales; Poaceae.
AUGGAUCAGUCCAAGAAGGGGUUCUUGCCUGUAUUGCAAGGUGUGAGAUUGAGCACAGCUCAACGCCCGACCUCAGUAGAAGAAAGAGAAAAGAUGAGUGUCAUCCCCUAUGCCUCGGCCAUAGGCUCUAUUAUGUAUGCCAUGCUGUGUACCAGACCUGAUGUGAACCUUGCCAUAAGUUUAGUAGGGAGGUACCAAAGUGAUCCUGGUAUGGAACACUGGACAGCGGUCAACAAUAUCUUGAAGUACCUGAAAAGGACAAUGGUUAUGUUUCUUGUUUAUGGAGGUGCCAAAGAGCUCGUUUUAAAGGGUUACGUCGAUGCUAGCUUCAACACAGAUCUGGAUGACUCCAAGUCACAAACCGGAUACGUGUACAUUUUGAAUGGUGGGGCAGUGAGCUAG